This 1563-nucleotide long non-coding RNA is filed under the name Hordeum vulgare. RNAcentral's name for it is "long non-coding RNA (HVUL_LNC014454)". The record is from RNAcentral. Lineage: Eukaryota; Viridiplantae; Streptophyta; Magnoliopsida; Poales; Poaceae.
CGUGACGAUAUUCAAAAAAACAAGGCCCUGAAAAAACCAAGGAAACCUUAACAGUAACCGAAUCAUGGCCGCUGCUUUGUCACGUUUAGUACACGUAGCUCCUAUUUCGCGCCUGAGUCUAGGGCUGGGCGUUCGGUUAAUAUGAUUAAUACGGUUCGGUUUAUUCGGUUUUCUAUAAUUUUGGUUUUCAAGAAAUGACCACCGAAAUAAUCACAUAGAAAUUAGCAACCGAACCAUAUUAACCAAAAUACUUUGGUUCGGUUUAUUCGGUUAACCGGAAAACGGAAGUACAAUUUUUAGGGGAUUUGAUACGUGUAUUAUAUAUGCUAUUUCGAAUCACCCCAAUAGUUAUACACGCACAAGUCUAUAGCUAGCCUAAACAAGCUAGCACCCAGGCAGCUUGAUGGAUUUUCCAGCCGCCAUAUGUCGCGUCGGUUCGUACUCACGUACGUGAGCUUGUAGAGCUAUCCAGAUUAAGAGACUAGAACUUGGAGAAGCCAGCGAAGAUUUGUGAGUGAAUGGCUUACGUCUGUGCUGAGUGUCGAGCACCAACUCGCUGGAGCCGGUUCACUUAGAGUUUCGUGCGCUUAGGGUUGGAAGGAGACGGCGCCGCUAGAUGAAGGGACAGGAAGAUGGGAGAUGGCCAGAACGCAGUGUCAAUUGUUAUAUACUAAUGUACAUUAGGUAAAUCGAAGGAGGCAUUGGGCCCAACGAUAAAUGAGCUGCAGAUUGCAGUCAGAGACUCGGAGUCACGUACUAAUGAACGGUCAAUAUGAAUAAUAUGGUUUAUUCGGUGAUUACGGUUUCUGGUCGAUGGAAACCGAUUAUACACCGAACACCGAAUAGAAAAGAAAGUACACACCGAACCGAAAAACCAUACACCGAAUAAACAUGUAAAACGGUUAAAUCGGUUUGGUUCGGUUUGGUUUUUCGAUCUUCAGUUUGACAGUGCCCACCCCUACCUGAGUCCCUAGCGAAUAUGCCAGCGCGCACCCCCUGGUGACCCAGUUUUGUAUUUUGUUCUUCGUAUCUAUGUUUCUUUUUUUGGUUUUUUCUUCUAUAAAACAAUCUGGUAUUUAAAAAAGGUUCAAAAUUUUAGGGGAAUUUUUUUUGGAAAUGUUUCAGAAACUAUAAAAUGUUUCUGGUUUACAAAAUGUUCAUGGUUUUGAAAACAAAUAUUAGAACAAUGGGGCGAGUUGGCUGAUGAAGCUGUUUGUUUUUGUUGCUAAAUCUUCUAUUCCUAAAUAGCAACCACCCACUAGCUAUUUUUCCUAGACAUGAAACGAUGACAGAUGAGCAAAUCAUGCAUGUAAGUCAUAAAUUACAUUGUUUUUGCAUUACUCAUUAUGUGCUAACUCCACGAAUUAUGUGCUAACUCCACGAAUUAGGGUAUGAUGGCAACAUAGUACAACUUAUUCUUUGGUUAGACUGAAUCAUGCACGGUUUCAAAACUUGAACCUAGAGUUUAAGCAUUGUUCUUGCCAAAAGCAUAACUGAACCUACCAAUCUUAUUUGUUUAAACAUUCAGAUUGAGAGGACAAGAAAUAUAUUGAUACCGACAAC